CAUGUCCUUUAGAUAAUAAUUUAAGGUCUAAUCUGCUCAAUGAAUUUUAAAUUGCCGCAGUAUUUUGACUGUGCGAAGGUAGCAUAAUAAUUAGUUUUUUAAUUAGAAACUGGUAUGAAUGAUUGGACAAGAAAAUUUCUGUCUCUUUUUCAAUUUUUUUUGAAUUUUAUUUUUAAGUGAAAAAGCUUAAAUUUUUAUAAAAGACGAGAAGACCCUAUAGAGUUUAAUAUUUUAUUUUAAUUAUAAUUUAGAAUAAUUUUUUAAUUUAAUUUAUUUGAUUGGGGUGAUUUAAGAAUAAAAAAAAUUUCUUAAUAAAAAAAUUGAUGAUUUUCAAAUUUUAAAUCUAUUUUUAAUAAAUAUAAAAUAAAUUACCUUAGGGAUAACAGCGUAAUUUUUUUUAAAAGCUCUUAUUGAAAAAAAAGUUUGCGACCUCGAUGUUGGAUUAAAAUUAAUUUUUGGUGCAGUAACUUAAAAAUUGGGUCUGUUCGACCUUUAAAAUUUUACAUGAUCUGAGUUUAAACCGGUGUAAACCAGGUUGGAUUCUAUCUUUAUAUUAUUUUUAUAUUUUAGUACGAAAGGACCAAGUAUAAAUUAAAUUAAUUG
Molecule: ribosomal RNA, 603 nt
Filed under: Synchonnus slipinskii
Lineage: Eukaryota; Metazoa; Arthropoda; Insecta; Coleoptera; Lycidae
Description: partial 16S large subunit ribosomal RNA
Rfam family: Bacterial large subunit ribosomal RNA (bases 379-537)
Source: RNAcentral